This 73-nucleotide transfer RNA is filed under the name Escherichia coli CE516. Its description in RNAcentral is "tRNA-Gly". It matches the Rfam family "tRNA". Rfam says of the family: Transfer RNA (tRNA) molecules are approximately 80 nucleotides in length. Their secondary structure includes four short double-helical elements and three loops (D, anti-codon, and T loops). The record is from RNAcentral. Lineage: Bacteria; Pseudomonadati; Pseudomonadota; Gammaproteobacteria; Enterobacterales; Enterobacteriaceae.
GCGGGGAUAGCUCAGUUGGUAGAGCACGACCUUGCCAAGGUCGGGGUCGCGAGUUCGAGUCUCGUUUCCCGCU